Molecule: long non-coding RNA, 2080 nt
Organism: Cyprinus carpio carpio
Lineage: Eukaryota; Metazoa; Chordata; Actinopteri; Cypriniformes; Cyprinidae
Source: Ensembl
AAUGCUGGGUUGUUUAAUCUACCCAACCGCUGGGUUAUGAAAUGCUUUACCCAUUAUGGGUUAUUUAUAUGGAAUUUGGGUUAUUUUGUGCAACUCAUGCGUUGAGUCAAAAUCCAUCAACCCAAUUUAUAUCGGUUGACCCAGCACGUGAGUUGUUUGUGCUUCGAACCUCAUCAUCACCAGAGUCCACACACCGAGCGCUCGUCACAGCAGAGAACCUGACUGCUCAUGCAGCGAGGCCAAUAAAUAAUAAAAGGUAUGUGUACACUACAUGUCUAAUUCACUUUGUCUGUGUUGCAUUACCAAUUAAAGUAGUAUCUUUAUAUUGUUGAGGCUGGUUGGUUGGUUUGGCUAACAAUGUAGCUAACGUUAGCCAUUACCAUAGAAGCACGGUUAUAAGCCUACAGCUUAUCCGUUUGGUCUGAAUUAUAUUAUAGAAUUAAUUAAACAAGUUCAUAAUGCCAAUGGGCAUAUAGUCAUGUAUAUUGAAUUUGACAGGCUAAUUUGCCAGCUAGUUUCAUGCUAGCCAGGUGAUUUGCCAGUUAGUUCCUUUGCUAGCUAUAUUAUUUUAACUGGCUAUAAACGAACGCGCUUGUUUUUCCUGAAGCUUUUAAUGUGACAUGUGAAGGCAUAACACAGUGUUUGACUGAUUAAAAUAUGUAAAAACAGUGAGAUAAUUUGAUCUGUCUUGUUAUGUGGUGACCCACAAUCGAUAAGAACAAAUUCUUAUUUAAAAUUGGCGGCCUGGCCACUUGAGUGAAGGGUUGAUGUGACACCCCAAAGUAUGUGCACAUUUUGUGUAAAGGUGUUAUACUUUAAGCAAAAGUUUCUUUUUAUUGAUGUGAACUGUAAGAUAUUUGGGACUUGAAAGUAAAUCAGUAAGGUUAGAAUAGUUUGUUGUGGUGAGAAACCAGGACUCUUAUUUUGAAAACUGAAAGGAGGACUCUGAUAUAGGCGCUGUGUGCGCGCCCGCGCCCUUACAUCUGCUGAGCAACUGGUGCGACGUGACACGGAUUUUUCCUGUUAUUUUGCAGAUCAAUUGACAGCUUUGUCAUUAACACUGACAGACCUUGUCGAAAGAUUUAAAGCUUCCAUAGGGCACAUGUCUUUUACUGUGCACGCACACAUGCAUAUCCAGCCUGGAAUAAACAUGGUGGAGUACCUCCAUGAGGCCAAGGCAUGCAAGACAUACCCUCACAUCCUGACGCUGGGAAAUGAUCAGAGUGCAUUUCAGGCCUUCGUCAUAAUAGCUGGACAGGCCCUGGAACUAGAAACACUGCUUUGGGCCAUUGAUGUCUGCUUCAAGGCAUUCUUUGUCUUUGACAUUGAAUACCCAAAGCAGUGUGAACAUGUGUGGGAAUUCAUACAGAAUGUGAUAUAUGAAAUCUAAAAUGGUUAAGUUUAUUCAAACUAGAAUACUUGCUUGCAAGUAGAGAUAAUGGCUCUUAAAAGCAGCAUUAAGGAAUUUGAAUUUGUUCACUAGAGCUGCUGACUGUUGGCCUGUUGAAUGUUCAGCCAGUUCAAUCGAAAUUGUUUUGCUUUGAAUGUUUUCCAACCUGAGUGAACUGCACCAGUUCCACUAUAUUGUCGAUAUUAAUGUAAUAAAUUUUUUCAAAGAUUCCAUUGUUUUGUUCUUGUAUUGUUUAAGUGUUUAUUGCAUAAUAUAUGCAUAAAUCUAGCAUGUAUUCUGUUCUAGGUUUGUAGUUUCACAGUUUUAUAUGGGUAGUCUAUUGCAAUUUAUUUUCUUAAAUUGUAGUGUAAUGUGUUAAGACUUAAUCUGGCAUAUGGGUUAAUUUUACCCAUCUUAAUAUGUAGUUGAAUCAACCCAGAAUUGUAUUUAAUUUGACCCAGAAUUUAGGUACACUAUUUAACAAAUAUGUAGUUAAAUCAACCCAUAAUUGUAUUUAAUUUGACCCAGAAUUUGGGUAGAAUAUUUAACUCAUCUGUUGGGUUAAAAAUGACCAACCCAUCUUGCUGGGUCAAAUUAACUACCGUUGGUCUGGUGCAAUAUUGAUCCAGCGGUUGGGUUAUAAAACAACCCAAGGUGGGUUAUUUUUAACCCAUCAUUUUUCUGUGUGUA